Long non-coding RNA from Bos taurus (domestic cattle), 1068 nucleotides. Lineage: Eukaryota; Metazoa; Chordata; Mammalia; Artiodactyla; Bovidae. The record is from Ensembl.
AAGCCUUCAGGUCACAGAGAUGGAGGGGGCAUCUGAUUUAUACCUCUUAGAGUGGUCAGGGUUCUCAAAACCACUAAGAAAUUUAUGUGAGUGACAUCUGUAGAUUAACAGACUCAACAAUGGAGAAGGAAAAAUGAUACAGGAAGAAGAAAUGGAAAAUAUGAUAGGAAAUAAGGAAACCAAGAGGAGUAAUAGAAGAAGGAGAAAAGCUACAGUCUCCCAGUCUUCCGCUGACUUACAAAAGCCUGUCUCAACAAUUAAUGGUUGAAAGUGCUACUGAAGAGUGAGUUCUUGUCCUAUCACAAAAGGAUUCAGAGACAAAACAUGGAGAUCAAGAAAACAAAGCAAGGAUUUAUUAAGCACUUUAUUACACUCAAAAGGGAAGAGUGGGCGGACUCACAUACAAAAACUCCAUGAAAUGGAAGUUAACUAUUUGAUGACCAGGAGCACAUAACAGCCUGCAGACCUACCCAAGUCCCAAAACUGAUAACGUUAGCCCUUGUGACAUGGCCCUGUUACCUCACCAUCAACCAGUCAGAAUUGUACAUGAUCUGAUUACAUACCUUGUGAACCCCCCACCCCCGUCACCUUGCCUUUAAAUAUGCAUUCCUUAAACCCCUCAGGAAGUUCAGAUAUUUUGAGCAUUAGCUGCCCUGGACUCCCUGUCUACCACUUUACGAUAAAUGCUGUACUUUCUUUCACCACAAUUUGGUCUCUGACUGGCUUUACUGUGCAUGGGUGAGAGAACACAACAUCUUGGUAUACAGUGAUAUUUAUUCUUUUCUUCUGCUUCUCUAAAACAUGCUCCAAACUGCCAUUAAAUAUGGCACUGCUUUGGCUAACAAUUUUUAAAAACUUGCACUUUUUCUUUCAUCUCAUCAAAGAGCAGUCAACUAGCAUAAUUUUGAAAGACAAUAUCACAUAGUAGGUCACAUGUGGACUCCAUAGAUAAAUGACCUGGAAUCUUGCCAGCUCUGAUCUUGAUCUCUCUGUACUUCAGGUUCUUUAAUAUGGGAUAAUAAUAGACCUCACCUUCACAACUGUCAUGAUGAUGAAAUAAGAUGAUAC